UGGGGAAUUUUGGACAAUGGGCGCAAGCCUGAUCCAGCCAUGCCGCGUGCGGGAAGAAGGCCUUCGGGUUGUAAACCGCUUUGUCAGGGAAGAAAUCUUCUGAGUUAAUACCUCGGGAGGAUGACGGUACCUGAAGAAUAAGCACCGGCUAACUACGUGCCAGCAGCCGCGGUAAUACGUAGGGUGCAAGCGUUAAUCGGAAUUACUGGGCGUAAAGCGUGCGCAGGCGGUUUUGUAAGACAGAGGUGAAAUCCCCGGGCUCAACCUGGGAACUGCCUUUGUGACUGCAAGGCUUGAGUGCGGCAGAGGGGGGAUGGAAUUCCGCGUGUAGCAGUGAAAUGCGUAGAUAUGCGGAGGAACACCGAUGGCGAAGGCAAUCCCCUGGGCCUGCACUGACGCUCAUGCACGAAAGCGUGGGGAGCAAACAGGAUUAGAUACCCUGGUAGUCCACGCCCUAAACGAUGUCAACUGGUUGUUGGGAAGGUUCCUUCUCAGUAACGUAGCUAACGCGUGAAGUUG
Molecule: ribosomal RNA, 519 nt
Filed under: uncultured bacterium
Lineage: Bacteria
Description: partial 16S ribosomal RNA
Rfam family: Bacterial small subunit ribosomal RNA
Source: RNAcentral